Molecule: ribosomal RNA, 253 nt
Filed under: uncultured bacterium
Lineage: Bacteria
Description: partial 16S ribosomal RNA
Rfam family: Bacterial small subunit ribosomal RNA
Source: RNAcentral
UACAGAGGUCUCAAGCGUUGUCCGGAAUCACUGGGCGUAAAGGGCGCGUAGGCGGCCUGAUAAGUCGGGGGCGAAAUCCUGCGGCUUAACCGCAGGGCUGCCUUCUAAACUGUCAGGCUUGAGCACAGUAGAGGCAGGUGGAAUUCCCGGUGUAGCGGUGGAAUGCGUAGAGAUCGGGAAGAACAUCAGUGGCGAAGGCGGCCUGCUGGGCUGUUGCUGACGCUGAGGCGCGACAGCGUGGGGAGCAAACAGG